This 292-nucleotide ribosomal RNA is filed under the name uncultured bacterium. RNAcentral describes it as "partial 16S ribosomal RNA". The record is from RNAcentral.
GGACUACCGGGGUAUCUAAUCCUGUUUGCUCCCCACGCUUUCGCGUCUCAGCGUCAGUAAUCUUCCAGGUGGCCGCCUUCGCCACAGGUGUUCCUCCCGAUAUCUACGAAUUUCACCUCUACACCGGGAAUUCCGCCACCCCCUCCGAUACUCAAGUCUGAUAGUUUUGGAUGCAGUUCCUCGGUUAAGCCGAGGGAUUUCACACCCAACUUAUCAAACCGCCUACACGCGCUUUACGCCCAGUAAUUCCGAACAACGCUUGCACCCUCUGUAUUACCGCGGCUGCUGGCAC